AGCCCUAGGGCUGGGAGUCAGGCUCGCUGUCUCCCCUCCACAGUUGGGUGUAUGUAGGUGGGAUUUACAUGAUUGCUCCUCAGCGCUUCCCCUUUAAUGGGCAGCUAAUUUUUCGACUUACACAUCUGCAUUAAAAUACAUAUUUAGUAUAUGAAAGAUCAGAUCCAGUGUUUAAAGAACGAAGCAUCGACCUCUCUUCAGGUCACUGGGUUCUGAUGUCAUCUGACCAUUGAAUACAUGAUGAGAGAAGAGAAUUUAUAGAUUUUAAUCCUUAUAAAUGCUGAAGCAUGAUUAUCAUUCCUGCUACAAUCAAUAGGGUCUUCCACAGGAAGAUUGUA
Manacus vitellinus (golden-collared manakin) is the source of this 338-nucleotide long non-coding RNA. RefSeq lists it as uncharacterized. The record is from RefSeq and is a predicted model, not a curated record. Lineage: Eukaryota; Metazoa; Chordata; Aves; Passeriformes; Pipridae. The transcript has 3 exons.